Molecule: ribosomal RNA, 303 nt
Filed under: uncultured bacterium
Lineage: Bacteria
Description: partial 16S ribosomal RNA
Rfam family: Bacterial small subunit ribosomal RNA
Source: RNAcentral
AGCAGUAGCCGCGGGAAUACGAAGGGUGCAAGCGUUAAUCGGAAUUACUGGGCGUAAAGCGCACGCAGGCGGUCUGACAAGUCAGAUGUGAAAUCCCCGGGCUUAACCUGGGAACUGCAUUUGAAACUGUCAGGCUGGAGUCUUGUAGAGGGGGGUAGAAUUCCAGGUGUAGCGGCGAAAUGCGUAGAGAUCUGGAGGAAUACCGGUGGCGAAGGCGGCCCCCUGGCCAACACUGACGCUCAUGCACGAAAGCGUGGGAGCAAACAGGAUUAGAUACCCCUGUAGUCCCUGUCUCUUAUACAC